Molecule: ribosomal RNA, 301 nt
Filed under: uncultured bacterium
Lineage: Bacteria
Description: partial 16S ribosomal RNA
Rfam family: Bacterial small subunit ribosomal RNA
Source: RNAcentral
CAGUCGCCACGGUAAUACGUAGGUGGCAAGCGUUGUCCGGAAUUAUAGGGCGUAAAGGGCUCGCAGGCGGUUUCUUAAGUCUGAUGUGAAAGCCCCCGGCUCAACCGGGGAGGGUCAUUGGAAACUGGGAAACUUGAGUGCAGAAGAGGAGAGUGGAAUUCCACGUGUAGCGGUGAAAUGCGUAGAGAUGUGGAGGAACACCAGUGGCGAAGGCGACUCUCUGGUCUGUAACUGACGCUGAGGAGCGAAAGCGUGGGGAGCGAACAGGAUUAGAUACCCCAGUAGUCCCUGUCUCUUAUAC